Molecule: ribosomal RNA, 403 nt
Filed under: bacterium
Lineage: Bacteria
Description: partial 16S ribosomal RNA
Rfam family: Bacterial small subunit ribosomal RNA
Source: RNAcentral
UGGGGAAUAUUGCACAAUGGGGGAAACCCUGAUGCAGCGACGCCGCGUGAACGAAGAAGGUAUUCGUAUCGUAAAGUUCUGUCCUAUGGGAAGAUAAUGACAGUACCAUAGAAGAAAGCUCCGGCUAAAUACGUGCCAGCAGCCGCGGUAAUACGUAUGGAGCGAGCGUUGUCCGGAAUUAUUGGGCGUAAAGGGUACGCACGCGGUUUAAUAAGUCGAAUGUUAAAGAUCGGGGCUCAACCCCGCAAAGCAUUGGAAACUGAUAAACUUGAGUAGUGGAGAGGAAAGUGGAAUUCCUAGUGUAGUGGUGAAAUACGUAGAUAUUAGGAGGAAUACCAGUAGCGAAGGCGACUUUCUGGACACAAACUGACGCUGAGGUACGAAAGCGUGGGGAGCAAACAGG